Meriones unguiculatus (Mongolian gerbil) is the source of this 1196-nucleotide long non-coding RNA. RefSeq lists it as uncharacterized. The transcript has 3 exons. Lineage: Eukaryota; Metazoa; Chordata; Mammalia; Rodentia; Muridae. The record is from RefSeq and is a predicted model, not a curated record.
AAGCACAGUCUUAGGAGUUGGCUUGGGUAUCUAAAAGGGAAAUCUGAAAUACAGGGUUCAUUUCAAAAAUGAACAUUAUUCCAGCAUGUUUUAUGAAAAUCAGAAAGGAAAAAAAAUGGGAGUAAAUAUCAUUGUCAAGUGUUUGAGGAGAUGAACAUGAGUGGGAAGCACUGUUUAAGUGAGUUCCUGAGACAAGGAGGAACCUGAGUAUACAUGGAGUUGAAAGACUUGUCAGUAACAAUAGGAGAAUUACUUCCAUGUCCUCAGAGAAACCAGAGGAAUGGCUACCACGGAGUAAAAGAGAAGCUCUGGAAGUUGGUAACAGAAAAGGUAUUGGAUGUUAGCUUUGGAGAGAAAAGUUAGACUGAAUCCUAAGAAGGACUGAAGGCAUUCAAGUAAGAUGGUAAAGACAGAUUUAGCCUGGAUUUAUGUUUCUCCAGUGAAGCCACAAAGUGGACGAAGAAUUAUUAGGUGUAAUAAAUAGUACGGAGAGCUUCUUCAAUGACUCCCAUUAGGGCUCCUCUUGCCUUGCCCUUCCUGGCGCUAUUGGUCUGCAACUAGGGUCUGUGGAUCCUAAGGGGAGGAAGCAGAGUGCAGGAAUGGCCAAGGAUGGCAAGACCUCAGGAUUCUAAAAGUCCAGAAUCAUAGCCAUGAAAUCAGAUAAAAAACUGAAUAGGCUUUUGUGUAAAGUUUUUGGAGGUGACUACACAUCCACCAAUCCACCUGGCAAGAUAAAGAAAAUCAUCUUACUCCUUUCCAAGCAGACUGUUCGGCAAACAUCAGAUGGAGAGGGGCAUGAUGGGAAUAGCCAUGGAAGUGAACCAGCACUGACAAGAAUUUCCAAGCGUCAGGACAGGAGAUUAGUCAUCAGAUUCAACACUGGGAAAUCUGUAUCCAUCUGUCUAAUUCGCCCCUGUGCCCCUAUCCUCCACUGAGUCAAGCCAGAGGAGGGUGUUUCCAGAAACAAUUAUGGGAGCUCUGAUGCAAUCAAAGAUUCAAUCUUGGUGGAUGUGGAAGCUGGAGGAAGUGGGUCGCUGAGGGUAAUGAUGCAAUUGGGCCUUGGCUUGUUCCUGUUCCUCCUCUUUGCUUCCUGGAUAUAAAAGGUCAACAGCUCUCCUCUACCAAGUCCUUUCCCCAUUCUGCUCUGCCACAGUCCUACAUGCAAUAAAGCCUAGUCCAUGGAUUGAAACCGCAAA